Long non-coding RNA from Rosa chinensis, 1778 nucleotides. RefSeq lists it as uncharacterized. The transcript has 4 exons. NCBI's taxonomy places the organism in Eukaryota, Viridiplantae, Streptophyta, Magnoliopsida, Rosales, Rosaceae. The record is from RefSeq and is a predicted model, not a curated record.
UCUUUCGUUUACAUUAGGUACUGUUCUGCUUGUGAAAGAGUGGGAGAGAGUGAGAGUGGUUAAUUAUUAGUCCCUCAUAUUUCGUGUUUAUCCACCAAGAUGGUAAUUAUAUUCUUAUAGAAAAUCUCCUGGAACCAUAAGCGUGAUCCCUCCUGCUUUAAGAUUUGCUGAGAUCCUGAGUCGCUUUCUUGUCCGACUCCCAUGGGGACAGUUAAUGACGCGUCAUCAUCUACUCUCUUUCUCCCCUUUCCAAUUUUUUGCUACCUUUUUCUUCUUUACUCAUCUCCCACCGAUCUCUUUAAUUAUGUGGAUUAGGGUUUCCAACGAGGGGCUCUAAUUACUUUGAGUUUAGGGUUAUAUAUAUGCAGGAAACCCAUGUCUUAUAGGGUAUGAACACUCACAGUUGAGUACUCGAUGGUCUCUUUCAAAUAUUAGAUCAUUUUGAUUCGACACAGUACCUAUGCUUUGGAUCGUUUUUAUAUAUUUUCUUCUGUGUUCUGCCGUGAUGAUCGAUCAAAGAAAUUCUGUUUCUGGGGUGAUAAGGCCAUUGAUUUGGGAGAAUUGUAAUUAUAGAUCUUAAGCUCAUUUUUGGCAUUUUUAGAAGAAGUAGUACGAAUCUGAAUCUGAGCUCUUGGAGAGUGCUAUGCCAGUGGUGCACUGCAGUAGUGAGUGUUACUACAGUUGCAUGGUGGGAAUUCCUAUCCUAUUGAGCUUAAACUAUUGGCUCAUUCAUUGUUGCAUUGGUUUUAUGAAUCAAUGUCAGGGAAGGAACUCAAGUGGUGCAGUUGCAUGGUACUGCUUUUCGGAUUCCCCUGCACCCAAUCUUCAUCACAAGCCACAACUCAGCAACUUUUCUGGGUUCUCCCCCAUUUUGUUUCCACUAUUUAUCUUGUUUAAGAAAAUCAAUGGCAUGCAUCUGAAGCUCCACUUCGUUUUUCGCUUGUCAUUCUGACCAUGUUAUCCUGCAGCUAUGUAACUCCAUUAUCUGCAUGUAAAUUAAAUAGUGCAGUCUUUUUUAAUUAUACCAUUUAGAGAAGUAUGGUACAGAUCAUGCAUAUAACAUUAUAUAUUGAAGUACUUCAUCUCUGAAAAAGCUUGAAGAAACCAAAUUGUCUUUAUAUAUGUUGCUUUUAAUGGUAAAAAAGUAUACGCUUUAAUCCUUUUAAGGCCUUGGAAGUUGGAACUGGUCAUUGUUUCACUCCAUGUGUUCAUUGAAAUAUGCACAGUACUUUCUAUUAGAGUCGUAUUAUACGCAUUUUUCCUUUGGAGCUGUGUCACCCACUCUUCUGUGGUACAACUAUGGAAAUGCCAGCAGUUAAUACACGAGCAAAGCUUACUUUUUCAUUUAUAACCCCUGUUUUUUUAAGUGUUUGUGGCUUUGGGCGGUGGCUGAUCCAGUAGUAUGAAGUAUGAACAAUGAUAAUGUAUUCCAGAUAUGGUAAGAUUGGAACUCGUGGGCGAAACUUCCCCUUUUGGUAAUCAGCACUUGUUUAACUUGGAACAGUGUGUUUAUAAACUUCCUGUCAGAUUAAUUGACCUGGUAGUAGGUCUGGUAGGCAUCCCAUGUGGUCCCCAUAUUCUUCUUCUUCUCAGGAGUUUGAAACCCUAAUGCUGGUGGAAUUUGAUAAACUUCUUUGUUUAAUAAGGGCAUUAUGUAUCGACUACGGAGAUGUAUUUGCUUUCCAUCUUGUUAGAGAAAAUCUGUGUAGACAUGGGGUAUUACUUAUUAAAAGAAACACAAGUACACACUUCUUAAUCUACAAUUCUACAUUGUCUCU